This 1896-nucleotide long non-coding RNA is filed under the name Citrus maxima (pomelo). RNAcentral's name for it is "long non-coding RNA (CMAX_LNC003942)". The record is from RNAcentral. Lineage: Eukaryota; Viridiplantae; Streptophyta; Magnoliopsida; Sapindales; Rutaceae.
UGAUAGACUCGUUCAAAUUUUGGUCCCUCUAGUAUUUUAUUAUUUCCACUUUAUUUUUUUAAAGUCUCUCACAAAUAGCCUAACCAACACGCUUCUAGAUUAAUUUGUACAAACUUGUUGCACGUAAUUGUUGUCUUAAUUCUUUAAAUAUGAAACAGCUCCUAAUAUCUUCUUGCAUAUUCUUCUCUUCCUAUUGUCAUUCUUUUGUUUUGUGUGUGUGUGUGUGAGUUUUUUUUUUUUUAAUAUAAACAAAGUUUCUUCUUAUUUGAUACACACUCCUCUUCACCCUUAACACAAAACUAGCUUUGAGAUUGCAAAGAAGAAAAACAAAAAUCUUUUUUAAUUCGUUUCUUUAUUUUUAUGAUUCUUUAGGCAAGUUUUGUUUUUUUUGGCUCGUUACACACGGAAUAAAUAACAUGGGUUUAUUUACUUGUCUUUCUGUUUUGUUUAUGAUUUCUUUUUCUUUUUUGAUUUUUGAUGAUUUUUUUUGCAUCGCUUGUUUAUGUCAGAUUGUCAGUGGCUAGCUUGAUCCAUUACUUUUGGCUAAUUUUUUGAGGUUUUAGUUUAAUUGUUUGAUUUUUAUUUUAUUGUAUUAUUUUAAUCGAUUGUUUGUUCUUAACACUAUCAUAUAUUAUAGAAUAUUUGAUUUUAAUCUAUUCAGGCAUUCAUACAAAAAAAAAAAAAUCAAUUCAUACUUUUGAAUUUUGAUUUAAACUUACAAGGAUUAACCAAUCAAGCUCUAAAUUUUCAAUACAUCAACUUUUUGAUUUUAUUAUUAACAAUACCAUAAAACAUUCGGGUUGGAGACUUGGAGGCUUGGAGCUUGAAGGAGCUUAGAGUAGUAACAGCAAUAGAUCCAGUUACGAAGCAACAGAUCCGGUCAGCAGUAACUGUGGGUUGCGUAGGGUAUCGAUGAUUCCUUCGUCUAUGUCUCAACGUUUGCAUCAGUUUGGUGAGUGCUGCCGCCAGCUACCACUGCAUGUAUGAAGUGCUACUACUGCUGUGUUUGUUUUGUGUGUGUGUGUGUGUGUUGUGUUGCGGCUGCCGAUGUUUGUAAAUUUGUGUUGUUGAGUGUCGACUUGUUGUAAUGUUCAUUCAAUUAGAAAAGAAUUAUUAUUAUUAUUAUUAUUAUAAUAAGAGACCAAUCCAAUCAGAUUUUCAGAUUGGAUCGGGUUCAAUCAAUCUGAUCAUGAUCCGAUCAAGUUGGUUAAAUUAUCAUCUGACUGGAUUAGGACAAUAAUCUUAUCCAAUCCUAAACUAAAUUUUUUUUAUCAGAUCGGGGUUAGGUUGGAUCAGGUCGGAUUAUUUGUCUACCCCUAGCUGUCACUUUUGGAGAAAAAAAAUGGUUUUAACUAAGGGUGGGCGUUCGGAUCAGGUUGACCCGAUCUGAAUUGAACCCGAAAAUAAUAAUAAUAGUAGUGUGUAUCACGUGUUAUGAAUUGUAAAGCAAUAUUCCUUAGUGAUAAAAAUAUAUUGUGUGAUGUAAUAUAAAAUAGUAGUAAGUCAUAAAGUAAGAUUCUUUAAGAAUAAGAUGUAAUGAUAUAAACAGUGAAAGGAGAUUCCCUUGGUGCUUAUAAAAAGGGUUGUACCUUACAUUAAAUGUAAUGUAACAGCUCCCUUCUAACAUUGAGCAAUCGACAGAACUGUCUGAUGCACCUUGAAAUAUCUUCUCACAUACAUAUGACGGUUCACUUUGGCUGCUCUGAGGUGCUCCAACAUAGCUAUUAAUAAAUAAACAAAUAACCAAUGCAUGCCCCCCAAAUUAAUUUUGUUUUUCUAAAAAUUUCCAAGUUUUGAUUAAUUUUCUCUCUUUAUUUUUCACCAAUAGAAACUUGGAUUAAAACAUAAUCAUGUUUAGUUUGAUUCUGAUUAAAAUAAUCUUAAUUUAGCCACUCA